RNAcentral lists this ribosomal RNA (253 nucleotides) under uncultured bacterium. Its description in RNAcentral is "partial 16S ribosomal RNA". It matches the Rfam family "Bacterial small subunit ribosomal RNA", at positions 524 to 776 of the family's 1533-position model. The record is from RNAcentral.
GACGAACCGUGCGAACGUUGUUCGGAAUCACUGGGCUUAAAGGGCGCGUAGGCGGUCGAUCAAGUCUGGGGUGAAAUCUUUCGGCUUAACCGGAAAAUUGCCUGGGAUACUGGUCGGCUCGAGGGAGGUAGGGGCAGCGGGAACUACCAGUGGAGCGGUGAAAUGCGUUGAUAUUGGUAGGAACGCCGGUGGCGAAAGCGCGUUGCUGGACCUCUUCUGACGCUGAGGCGCGAAAGCUAGGGGAGCAAACGGG